CAGAUAAACAGCAAACAUAGUAGUCAAUCCAAAUAUAUCAAAAAUAAAGAAAGCUCGUAUUGGGUAGAAUAUCGAAAUAUUUUAAAAACUUCUCCUAUAUAUUGUCAACAUGUCCGACAUCCAAGCCCCUCGUUGGUACAACAGAUGGUACAAUGCAAUCAUGGACAUACCAGAAUAUAUAAUAUCAGUGCUAAUUAAAUACAAGAUUUCAAAAUUAAAGCUGACCAGUCGCCAGGGGAAUCAGCAUCAAGAGCGUUAUAUCCCGAAUGCACCAUUGGAGAAUGAGCUACUUGAUUCAAUGAUGGAUUAAUUCAACCUUAAGAAACGGAUGAUCACAGAGCCAGACCCAAAAAUGUAGUAAAUGUAUUUACUCGUAAUAAAAUGUUAAAAUCUUACUAGCCUAUAAUUUAUUACCAAAGCAUUUCUUUC
RNAcentral lists this long non-coding RNA (429 nucleotides) under Drosophila guanche. Lineage: Eukaryota; Metazoa; Arthropoda; Insecta; Diptera; Drosophilidae. The record is from RNAcentral.